Molecule: ribosomal RNA, 412 nt
Filed under: bacterium
Lineage: Bacteria
Description: partial 16S ribosomal RNA
Rfam family: Bacterial small subunit ribosomal RNA
Source: RNAcentral
UGGGGAAUCUUGCGCAAUGGGCGAAAGCCUGACGCAGCGACGCCGUGUGUGCGAUGAAGGUCUUCGGAUCGUAAAGCACUGUCGCGAGGGAAAAAACCGAAAGGGCGAUGGUACCUCGAAAGGAAGCACCGGCUAACUCUGUGCCAGCAGCCGCGGUAACACAGAGGGUGCAAGCGUUGUUCGGAAUUAUUUGGCGUAAAGCGCAUGUAGGCGGCCCGUUAAGUCGCGUGUGAAAGCUCCAGGCGCAACAUGGCAAGUUCGCACUAAGCUGGUGGGCUUGAGUGCCGGAGAGGGGGGCGGAAUUCCCGGUGUGUAGGUGAAAUACGUAGAGAUCGGUAGGAGCACCAGAGUCGAAGACGGCGACCUGGACGGACACUGACGCUGAGAAGCAAAAGCGUGGGGAGCAAACAGG